Cyanistes caeruleus (blue tit) is the source of this 495-nucleotide long non-coding RNA. RefSeq lists it as uncharacterized. The record is from RefSeq and is a predicted model, not a curated record. NCBI's taxonomy places the organism in Eukaryota, Metazoa, Chordata, Aves, Passeriformes, Paridae.
UCUAUGAGAGGAGAAGCUCUGCAAAGCAGUGUUGCUACAGUACACUACUCCAGAUGUAAUCCCACACAGACUUCCCUGGCUAUGAUUCCGACUUAUUCAGUAAUUACAAGCAACAAAGAAAACAGGCGCCUGGCAUAAAAACCAACACCAGAGUCCUGAAGAGUGAUCUGAGUUUACAAAACAAACAGGAGUCUGAGUGUGCUGAGGGAUCUACACUCAAACAAUUGGGACCCUCAGGUGGUUGCACAAUUUGGAGGCUCAUUAUGUCCUCUCUCAGUCCAGGAGUUUCCACCCACACUUGUGUUUUGAAGGCAACAAGGCAGGGGAUGACAAGGAAAAGGGGAAGCAAAAAUAAUCCCCCUGAACAUCAUUUUUUUGGGGAAUGAAAACCUGACAUUCUGCAGAAGGCACCAUCCUCCAGCAAAACUGCAGCAGUGAGGUCGCCAAGAUAAGAGAACCCCCCAAAGCAAGCAAGCAACUAAAUAAAUAAGUACA